This is a non-coding RNA of Pelobates cultripes (western spadefoot toad), 208 nucleotides long. Lineage: Eukaryota; Metazoa; Chordata; Amphibia; Anura; Pelobatidae. The record is from the annotation of a GenBank genome assembly.
AUCACGAAAGAUAGUUAAUACGCCUGCUACUGGGAGCCAAUAGGAUGUGUAGAUUUGGGUGCCAGGAGGUUCACACCCACCAAACGCCUAAGAAUACUGUCACUCCGGUAAACUCUAAAACAAGCAAAAAAAACGUUCUCCUACUUUGGAAAACCCUUGACAGUACUUCAUGUGUGUUAAUAUUUGUUUGUUGUUUUUUAUAUUUCCA